Alnus glutinosa is the source of this 1010-nucleotide long non-coding RNA. RefSeq lists it as uncharacterized. The record is from RefSeq and is a predicted model, not a curated record. The transcript is spliced from 4 exons. NCBI's taxonomy places the organism in Eukaryota, Viridiplantae, Streptophyta, Magnoliopsida, Fagales, Betulaceae.
CUGUUCUAAUCACCCGAACCCUUCCUCUCUUCUCUUUUCUUUCCUCUUCUCUUCUCCUGCACUGCCUUCCCCAUUUCUUCUUCUACCCACGGCAAACUGCGAGAUAUGAGAGAUUGAGAGAGUGAUACGCAGAGAUGGAGAGACCCGUGAGCUCAAACCCGACGAUCCCAUAGCGAAACCCAUAACCCGAACGACCCACCGAACCAUAGACUAACCAGCAGCCUGAGACACGAUUUCCGACGAUGGAGGAGCUCCGGCGGUACCCAGGAGCCGAACCACGAACCCAGGGACCGUGCAACCCAACUGAACCCGAUUCACCCGAAUCCCGACGGGUCUGGCAGAGGCGAAACAGAGAGGGAGUGCCGAGGGAGAUCCGGCUGUUCAGGGAUCCUCCGACGGAGCUACGUGGCCGAUCCUCCAGUGUCGAAUUCCGGCGAGUUCUCCGACAGUCCCGGUAUGGAUUUCCGGCGAAAACAGUGAAGAUUUUCUGUGGUUCUUGAGCUCUAUUUUAUUAGGAUGGUGUUGUAAUUGGAGACUUCAAUGGGUUCUCCAAGGUAGAGUUCGAGUAAUUGGAAUCCAAUGGGAGUUCGAGUCAGGAGUCUAAUGCAGCCGAGAUGAUGUUUCUUUGGCUGCAGGUACUUCGGUAUAGUCGAUGGGUCGGUAGCAGUGUGCUUGAGAUGUUAUGACUGAAGCUCGCCGCGACAGUUGUAAUUGUCGGACCACGGGUUGUCCACUAUUUUAUAGGUUUGGUAUGGCUUGUGACGUUUGUGUCACUUAUUCUUUGUUAAGCCAUUAUUGUUAUAGUGUUAAUAAGACUCAAACAGAUAGAUAUUAAAUGGCUCUUUGUUGUAAUUAACUUGUGAUAGAUGUAUAAGUUGUAAUUUCCGCUUUUCAGAUUUAUGUUUUCCGCUGCAUAGAUAGAUGUAUGUUAUACUCUGAUUAUCAGGUACAUGUUAUGGGGCAUGUGCCAUAUGUUGGCUGAGCGACACUUGUAAUUGUCGGACCACGGG